CUGGAACCGCCUAAGACACCACCCCAGCCAGCAUGGCCGGCAGGAGCGCACCGCGCUGUCUCCCUCCAGGGAUCCGCACCGCCCUACAAUCCUGCUUUGUGCUGAGAUUGUAGUCCUGCAGGCGUACAACUAACAAGCUGGGUGCAGAUAAGAGACUACAGCUCCCCGCAUCCCAAGCAAAGGUCCCUCCUCUACGGAGCCCCUCCACGCGUCCACUGCGGUUCCGCCGUGCCAAGGGGAGCUUGGCUGUUCACGGGCCUCACCUGCUAGCGAGAAGAUAGCUUGGCCGGGCGGCUGAUCUCACCUUGUAAUUCUGACACUGUGUCUCCCGGGCUUGUCGGCUUCAUGACUUGUGCCCAAAGUUUGAUUUCUCGCAGACCAGGAGGACCCAUUGGACCCCCGGGCUGGCUGCAGGGCCCACACCUGGGUUAGACCUCGCACAGGGACGCUGCUGCCACUGUAAUAAAGCGUGCCUACACGCUUCUGAAACUGGUGUAGGAACAACCUCAGUUCUGUGAAAGGCGGACGCAGCAGGACAGAAUCUCCGUGGACAUCUGUCUGGAGGAGCAAUUUUACUGCGACAUUUUAAAGAAACAAAUUUAAUUGAUUUCCAAGGGUGUCCAUCGCGCUUCCUUCACUGCCUUGAUCAUGUCGGGGUCACCACCUGCGGGGGUUUGUCCUGCAGACCCUGACUCAACGACGGAUGAAUAAUGUACACUGACACAGAUCUUAUGCUUGUCAGUCCUGCUGAGCAUCCAGGCCACUUACAGACUCCAAGAAGAGUCCUGUCAGCCACGGCUCUGACUUGUUGGCCCUCCCGGCAUUUAUUUAGCACACAUUUAAUGACAGAAGUCUCAGGCUGGAAACACUCUUUUUGUAGAACAUACAAAUGGACAUUUCUAAGCACAUUGAGGCCUAUAAUGAAAAAUCAAAUAUCCCACAAUGAAAACUAGAAGGAAGCUAUCUGUGAUAAUGCUUUGUGGUGUAUGGAUUCAUCUCACUGACUGAAACCUGAGUUUUGAUUCACCAGGUUGGAAACACUUUUACUGUAUUAUCUAUGAAGAAACGUUUUUGAGGCCAUUAAGUCCUACACUGAAAAACUGAAUAUACUGCAUUAAACAUUCUAAAGAAGCUAACUGUGAAAAUGCUUUGCAAUGUGUGUAUUUAUCUCACAGAGUUAAACCAUUGUUUUGAUUCAUCAGUUUGGAAACAGUUUCUUUGUAGAAUCUAUGAAGGGACCUUUCAGAGGCCAUUGAGGCCUAUAAUAAAGAAACAAAUAUCCCACAAUAAAACAAGAAACAUAUAGAAACAAGCUGUAUGUGAAAAUGCUUUGUGAUAUCUGGAUUCUUCUCACUGAAUCAAACCUGGGUUUUGAGUCACCAGGUUGGAAACACUUUUUUUGUAAAAUCUAGGAAGGGAAAUUUCUGAGCCCAUUGAGGCACAUAGUGAAAAACCGAGGAUCCUGUGAUAAAAACUAGAAAAACGCAAUAUGUGAAGUUGCUUUGUGAUGUGUGGAUUCGUCUCCCCGAAUGGAAUCUCUGUUUUGAUUCACCAGGUUGGAAACAAUGUUUUUGUAGAAUGUACAAUGAGACAUUUCUGAGUCCAUUUAGGCCUAUACUGAGAAACCCAAUAUCCUGCUAUAAGAAGUAGAAAAAUGCUAUCUGUAAAAAUGCUUUGUGAUGCAUGGAUUCAUCUCACAGAGUUAAAGCUUUGUUUGGAUUCAACAGGUGAAAAACCCUUUUUUACAGAAUCUACAAAAAACAUCUCUGAUCCCAUUGAAGUUUAUAGUGAAAAACAGAAUAUCCUGUGAUAAAAAGUAGAAACAAGCUAUCCGUUGAAAUGCUUUGCAAGGUCUGAAUUCAUCUGACAGAGUUAAACCUCUCUUUUAAUUCAUCAAUUUGGAAACACGCUUUUCUUAGAAUCUAUGAAGAAACAUUUCUGACCCAAUUGAAACCUAUACUGAAAAAUAGAAUAUCCCAAAAUAAAACCAGAGAAAAGUUAUCUCUGAAAAUGGAUUGUAAUAUGUGGAUUCAUCUAACAGAGUUAAACCUUUGUUUUGAUUCAACAGGUUGGAAACACUCUUGUUGUAGAAUCUAUGAAGGGAGAUUUCUGGGAGCAUUGAUGCUUAUAAUAAAAUACAGAGUAUCCCGCAAUGAAAAGUACAAACAACCUAUCUGUGCAAAUGCUUUGCCAUGUGGGAAUUCCUCUUACAAAGUUACACAUUUGUUUUGAUUCAAUAGGUUGAAACACUCUUUUUGUAGCAUCUACUAAGGAACAUUUCAGAGCUCACUGAGGCCUAUAAUGAAAAACUGAAUAUUCCAUGUUAAAAAGUAGAAACAAGCUAUAAGUUAAAAUGCUUUGGGUUUUCUGGAUUUACAUCACAGAUUUAAACUUUUGUUUUGAUUCAUCACCUUGGAAACUUGCUUUUUGUAGAAUCUAUGAAGGAACAUUUCUGAGCUCAUUGAGGCCUAUAGUGAAAAACGGAAUAUCCAGUGAUAAAAACCAGAAGCAAGCUAUCUGUGGAAAUGCUUUGUGAUGUUUGGAUUCAUCUCACAGAGUUAAAUCUUUGUUUUAAUUAAACGGGUUGGAAACACUCUUUUUGUAGAAUCAAUGAAAAGACAUUUCUGAGCCCACUCAGGCCUAUGUUGAAAAAUCGAAUAUCCCACAAUAAAAACUAGAAACAAGGCAAGUAUAAAAAUGCUUUGUGGUGUCUGGAUUCAUCUUAGAAAGUUAAACCUUUGCUUUAAUUAAAUAGGUUGGAAACACUGUUGUUGUAGAAUCUACGAAGGGACAUUUCUGAGGCCUUCGACUCCUAUUGUUACACACUGAAUAGCCCAUGAUAAAAACUAGAAACAAG
Molecule: long non-coding RNA, 2857 nt
Filed under: Homo sapiens (human)
Lineage: Eukaryota; Metazoa; Chordata; Mammalia; Primates; Hominidae
Description: HSALNT0257700
Source: RNAcentral